Molecule: unclassified non-coding RNA, 213 nt
Filed under: Hevea brasiliensis (rubber tree)
Lineage: Eukaryota; Viridiplantae; Streptophyta; Magnoliopsida; Malpighiales; Euphorbiaceae
Source: RNAcentral
GGGGAAGGCGAGCGCGACGACGUGGCCGGGGAGCACGCCCGCAUCGGCGGCGAGGCGCGCGGCCGCGGCGUCGACGAGCGCGUCGAGCGCCGCGUGCGACAGGUCGACCUUGCCCGGGACGGCGAGGGCGCGGCGCGAGGGGAACGUGGCCACCGCCGCCUUGAGCAGCGUGGUCAGAGUCGGGGUCUCCAUUGGGUCGCCCGCUGCAGGUGC